Long non-coding RNA from Mirounga angustirostris (Northern elephant seal), 3502 nucleotides. RefSeq lists it as uncharacterized. NCBI's taxonomy places the organism in Eukaryota, Metazoa, Chordata, Mammalia, Carnivora, Phocidae. The transcript is spliced from 5 exons. The record is from RefSeq and is a predicted model, not a curated record.
CUCGGGAUCAAAGCGAACCACAAAUAACCUCUCAGCGCGCCGCCCUCCUCCGCCCUCCUCCGCCCUCCGCCUCCUCCCGCUCCCUCCUCCCGGCCCCCGCCUUCCUCCCGGGAGGCGGCGCUGCGGACCCGGCGGCCGGCCCCUGAGCUCCGUUCCCGGGCGGCGCAGGGCCCUCCAGGACGCCCUGCGCCUCUCCCGCCUCCCCCACCCCACCGCCGCGCUUUGCUCCGGGCUGCUGGGGACGAAUUAAUCCGCUCGGCCAUUACCGUCCCCGCCUUCCGCUCACUCCUUCAUCCCUGUCCGCGGAACGACCCCCGAAGAUGGACAGUCGCGUGUCCCUGAGGGGUUCUGGGUUUUGCUGCGGGAGAGGGGCUCGGGGGUUGUGUGUGUGUGUGUGUGUGUGUGUGUGUGUGUGUGUGUGUACGCGAGGGGAGGAAGACUGCAAAGAUGUCCGUACCUGCCUGCCUGCCUUGGACCCCAGCCCCGGCGAAGAGAAGACUGCUCCCAGCUCCAGCCGCUCCCUAACCCCCACUGCUUUCACCGCCAGCGGCAACCUUUGAAUUGUCCUGUUACUGUUUACCAACACCUUCGCCAGCUCCUUUAGGGCCUGUCUCCACAGGAAGUGUGAAUCUGGGUUGAAAAUCUUCCGGUUAAUUUGAUCCACCUAACCCACUGAAUCACCCGCCGCCAGGCGCUCUGUCCAGCUCUUCUGGAAAAAGGUGCUUAUCGGCACCCCUAAAUUCACGCAGAGCGCACGGUGUGCCACCACCCACUUUUCCCCUCGUCCUGCCUGUCAGCCCUCCCAAAUCAUCCUGCCAGGGAGUUCUGUUAUCAUCCCUGUGAUAUACACGAGGAAACCAAGGCUCAGGGAGGUUGAUUAGCUUGCCCCAGGGUCACACAGAGCAGAAGUUGAUGAAGCCAGGUAACCACAGCCUGCUCAGUUUUUCAUUCUCAAAACCCUUCUGUUGCCACCAGGAUCCAGGCUCCCUAUAAAGGGACAGGACAGACCCUGGGAACCCUCCUCUCUCCAUUCCAGUCUCUUCUUUAUUUCCCCCUACACCCCUGCCAGUCAGGGACCUUCCCUGACUGCUAUUCUUUAUCUGGAUGAAGUGCUUUCCUCUGCCCUUCGGACCCUUACUCCCCCACUAUCCACUCGGCCCGUCCAUUGUGCUGGUACACACCCCUUCAGACCCGCCCUCCCCACCUGCCUUUCUCCUCUAUGCCCACAGUUCAGGGUGCCAUUCCUGAGCCCUGACCACACUGGGCCUCCCAACAUCCGCGUGUGGGGGACUCAGGCCCCUGUCCACCGGGAGAGUCAAGGCUGAGUCCUACCCCCCAGUAGGGUCCUCUCCUCCUUCCCUCACCAUGAAGUUUACAAGUCCCAGAUCUGCUGGAGUGACCAGAGACAAGAAAACUUUGUGCAUUCAAAGAGCUAUUUACUAGCCAGGGACAUUGUUAAUUUUUAAUAAAAUCCCUCCCCGAAAAUGUGUAUAUGUGUGUGUGUGAUUUACUUGUUAGCCAAAUAUUGCAUUGCAAAUAAUGAUUGGCUCUGAGACAAAGGAGAAAAUAAGUCAUUUGUGCCAAGCUAAGGGAUAUUUGGCCAUCUAAGGAUCAUCUCACAAAGAAAAGCUAAGGCCAAUAUGCCUCUGUCCCAUCUAGAAACACUUGGUAGAACUUUUAGAAAUGAAAAGGAAGAGAGAAGAAGAGAUCCCCGGAUGGCCUUACCCCUUGGACAGCAUUCUUCCUGGAGACACUUGGUGGAGGUAUGAGAGUAGGCGGGGACAUGUGCACUCUGGCGUUGCAAAAUCAGGGGAAAGGUCAUAUGGUCUUUCAGGGACAUUUGGGGGGGCACCUGACAAAAUGCUUGAUAAACAUUCUUUUUUUUUUUUUUUAAGAUUUUAUUUAUUUAUCCAUAAGAGUCAGAGAGGCAGAGGGAGAAGCAGGCUCCCCGCGGAGCAGGGAGCCCGAUGCGGGGCUCGAUCCCAGGACCCUGGGAUCAUGACCUGAGCCAAAGGUGGACACUUAACCAUCUGAGCCACCCAGGUGCCCCUUGACAAACAUUCUUGAGAUGGUUGCAGAAAGGGGCUGCUCAAGGCAGCUAGAGUCAAGGAAGGACCUCUUGGAGUGGGAGGAAGCUACCCGUUAACACUGUGAUUGACACACAAGGACUCUGGACGGCAGGGGAAUUUAAGGAGGAGAUCGAUUGCUUUUGAAGAAAAGGUGGCCAUCUGGAUGGUGCAGGUGCAAGGUAGCUGGGCUGCAAGGUGGCAGAUGGUUUGGUCCUCUGAAGACAAAUUAGGGAACCCGCAUGAUGACAGAUGGGCAGAUGUUGGGUCGUUGUGAAAGGGGUUUGUCCAGUUGGAAUCUCUUUACGGCAGAUUAGUUUGGAAAAUAUCUCAAGCAAUAGAAAGAAGAGAAAGGAGAGGCUCUGCAGAUCUAUUAUCCCUUACCUGAAAUUCCAAAAGGCAGGUCCCGGUCCCAUAGCCCCUGCAGGCUCCCUUGUGGGAGAGCAAGGAAGAGGAGGGCUGAGGUGGGAGGAAACAGAGCCGGUAGGAUGGACAUAAGGAGGUUCCUCAGUCCCCAUUGUCCCUGAGGCACUGGGAGCUUCCCUAGACAAGCAGCCACGCACGGAAGUGUUGGUGUCGCCCAGGACGGGGCAUCAGCUCUAUCACUUGCCAGAAGUGGCCGACAGAGGCCCCCUCCCCCACCGUCUAUCCUACCGAAUAUCGCCUCGGAUUCACUUCUCCGCACGUCCUACCUUCCAGAAAGUGGUUGCUUUUCUGUUCAGAGAGUUGUUGCUAUUCUUUUCUUCGAUCUCCUGUUGAGUUCGUAGGUGUUCAGAAUGGUUUGAUCUCUAUCCAGCUGAAUUCCUGGGACCAGACAAAAUCCAGGUCUCCUACUCUUCCGCCAUCUUGCUCCGCCCCUCUCUAGAUAACUUUUUGUUUUUGACUUCUAAUUUAAUUUUAAGUGGGCAGAGAACAUAUAAUUCAAUAUUUUUAUAUAUUGAUACUUGUUUUAUGGCUCAGAAUAUGGUCUAUCUUGGUCAAUGUUCCAUCUGCAUUUGAAAAGAAUAUGUGUUCUGCUGUUCUUUGUGGAGUGUUCUAUAAAUGUUCGUAAGAUCAUGUUAGUUGAUUAUUGUUCAAAUCUAUAUACUAGCUGGUUUUCUGUCUACUAUAAAUUAAUGAGAGGAGUGUUGAAAUAUCCAACUAUAAUUGUGGAUAAAAUCUAUUUCUCUUUCCAUUUCAGUUGUUUAAUGUUUCAUGCAUUUUGAAGUUUUAUUGUUAGGUAUAUAAAUGUCUAGGAUUGUUAUGUCCUCUUGGUGAAUUGACUCUUUUAUCAUUAUGAAAUAUUCAUCUUUAUCUUUGGUAAUAUUCUUUUAAUGAAAGUCUACUUCAUCUAAUAUUAGUAUAACUAUGUUAACCUUAUAAUUAGUGUUCACAUGGUAUAUAAUUUUCUAUAAAAGAUCUUUUUAUGUUUAUCUUUUCUGUGUCUUUAUGAUUAA